GUUGGCCUAGGGACACCCGCCGCCAUAACUGCGCUAAGAUCCGUUGGCUAUUUAAACCCCCUACUCUUCCUUCGGGGCUUCAUCCUGCCGAGAGGACGAUACCUUUCUUUCGUCUGAGAGCCUAGCUACUCAGCCACUUCCUCCGCAUCGGUCCUUGCCAUCUUCAGCCCCUCGAUUCUUCUCUAAGGGGUUCCCACGUCAUGUCCUCCACCCCGGAGGCCAUCCUCGAAGGGAUGUCUAGG
This 242-nucleotide long non-coding RNA is filed under the name Elaeis guineensis (African oil palm). RNAcentral's name for it is "long non-coding RNA (EGUI_LNC078734)". The record is from RNAcentral. Lineage: Eukaryota; Viridiplantae; Streptophyta; Magnoliopsida; Arecales; Arecaceae.